GGACAAACCUCUUGCAGAUAUUGGAGGCAAGGGUUUAUUCACCAAGGAAAUAGAUGAUGCGCUCUUGCAGGGAAGGAUUGAUAUCGCUGUUCACUCUAUGAAAGAUGUUCCAACAUAUCUACCUGAAGGCACAAUAUUGCCCUGUAACCUCCCACGAGAAGAUGUCAGAGAUGCAUUCAUAUGCUUGACUGCAAAUUCGCUUGCGGAGCUUCCUGCUGGCAGUGUUGUUGGAAGUGCUUCCCUGCGGAGACAAUCUCAGAUUCUCUACAGAUAUCCAUCACUGAAAGUAAGUAUGAUGGUUUUGCUCACCACGCUUUCCCUCCCCACCCCCUAUACUUGUCAUUUUAUUGCUAUCCGAUUCACUAAUGUGUUCAUAGAUACUUCCCAGUAUUGCGAGUUCGGUGGGUUUUCCCCCAUUGCAUGUAAAGAGAGUGAGCUUUUUGAGCUCAUCCUCUGAAGACUAGAACAUAGAUCUUCUUUCUAUCAGCCGCAGUUCUCAACUCUUUUAUAAACUGUUAAAUAAAUAUUAUAAAUAUGUAUAUUUUGAUUUCUAUGAUUGUGAAGAUGUUGUUUUCUUCUUUUUUUGUGAUGAGUGAAGCUGUUGUUUUCAAUGCCAUUCAUGUGAAAAGAUGCCUAUCCUAGAGGCAGUAUUGCAUUUUUUUGGGUUAUGAAGAGAAUUCUGUCUGGUUGAUGGUUGUAGGCUCAACUCAGUCUUGUACUUCGUUAUUUAGAAGCCUGUGUUUUUUAAUUUAUUUAGAAGUGUGUUUUGAUUAGGCAUUGAUCUUGAUUUGUCUCGUGCUUAACAGUAUCAAAUGGUUUUCAGGUAGUUAACUUCAGAGGAAAUGUUCAGACACGGCUAAGGAAACUGAAGGAAGGAGAUGUCUCUGCUACGUUGUUGGCACUGGCUGGAUUAAGGCGGCUGAAUAUGGCAGAAAAUGCAACAGCUGUACUAUCAGUGGAAGAAAUGCUUCCAGCAGUUGCCCAAGGUGCUAUUGGAAUAGCUUGCCGAAGCAACGAUGACAAAAUGGUAAGGGGUCCGGUGUUGUAGUAUACUGGUAGAUGGAGAAAACAUGAUGCUUGCAUGAUUCCAUCAUACAAAUCUGACUCUAGCUUUGCUAUCUUUGCACACUACUUUGAUUAAGUGAUAAGAAGGGGUGGAUCUAGAAUUAGGAAUCAUUGAUGUCACUAGCAUAGCUAUGAUAGACACGCUGUGUCAUUGUCUCUUGUGCGGUUGUGCCCAUAGUAAUUUUUUAUUCAGUUUACACAAGUCAUUGCUGUCAGGUGACAGAAUUAUUAAUACUGUGGAUCUGCCUCCUGGUGAUAGGGUCUGACCAUUUUAUGGUCCUGAAUAAAUAACCAUUAUAGAUGACCCUGUUUAGGCAGCACAGAUAGGUCUAUUUGUCAUGCCACUCUUUGCAUUUUUUUUAUCAAGUCUGUUUUGUUUGUUGCUUCUUUAUCCUGGCCAUGUUGCAUGUUGUGGAAGCAUUUUAUCUUUGAAAGUUGAAACUGUGUCUUACAGUAGGUCUUUAUAUUUCUAAUUUCUAAGUGCACAUUGUUAUUUUAUUCUGCAAUGUACAUUAAUGUACUAUGCAGCUAUGCAGAGCAUGCCAGACACUUGAUUGAGUUCAUGGCUUUUUUUAACACCAUUUAAUAAAAAAUGAUGAGAUCUCCCAAUCUUUGCCCUUUAUGUAGAUGGAGUAUCUAUCCUCGUUGAACCAUGAAGAUACCAGAUUAGCUGUUGCAUGUGAAAGAGAAUUCUUGGCAGUUCUUGAUGGUAACUGCCGAACUCCGAUUGCAGCCUAUGCUUACCGUGAUAAGGAUGGGAAUUGCUCAUUCCGGGGUCUGUUGGCUUCCCCAGACGGAUCUAAAGGUAUCCAUGGUUUUCGAUUGAAAAGAUCUUAAAAUGAUUUUGUUGUAUUUACCAUUGAAUGACAGCACUCUGUCACUUCUGCAGUAUUUGAGACAACAAGAAGUGGACCAUACUCUUUUGACGACAUGGUUGAGUUGGGCAAAGAUGCUGGUCAUGAGCUGAAGGCAAAGGCUGGGCCUGGCUUCUUUGAUAGCUUGCAAUGAAAAGAAUGAGCGACCAUGUGCAAUUUCAGUUACCACUCUUUUGGUUAGAAACGGAGGGUCUAAGUAGAGUAUUGAGAGGUUUGUUUUUGUUUCUUCUUUCUCCUACUAUAGUUCUGCUAGAGCCUUGUACUACCACUCAUAUUGAGCAGGCCCAUUGAGCUUUGUUGUGUCUCCUGUUCUUCUAGCACUCUGGGUUAGAGCCUUAGAGGUAUCUGCAAAGCACAGCUAUGUUUUGUCGAAGAGGUACCAGCACAGCUACGUUGUACACUUGUAAUGUUGUACUUGGAUGUGACUUUGCUGAUAGUUGUUGUUUCAAGAAUAAUUGAGCUCACGGUAACCAUGGGAGUAAGAUUCAAUGUUCUUAUUCUUCGGAAAAUCAGCCUGACUGAUUGAUUCCCAGAUGACUCUGAUCAAUGUCACAUCCCUCUGUUAGAGGCCCGACAAAACAUCCCUGAUUUUGUGGGGGUAAAGGAGAAUGUUUUGGGUAUGUGUCGAAGAAACCUUGAAGUGCGGUGCUAUAGACAGAUUGAUGAUCUUUUUGAUGGUAUGCUAUAUAAAUGAUGAAAUUUGAUGGUAUAUUAUUCAGUACCGAGCAAAAUUUGAUGGUAUAGAUGAAAUUUCCUGAACUUGACCCCCCUCGCACAUCUCGGCGUCUCCUCCCUCCGUCCCUCGCGCGCACAGUCCUCUAACCCUCUCUAGGCCGCCGGAGAUGGUGUCGCUGCGAUGCGCCACCGCGCGCCACUCCCUCCUCGGCCCGCCGACCUGCCUCGCGCGCCCGCGGCGGCGGGCGUGCCCCGUCGCCGUGGAGGCCGUCUCGCAGGCCAAGGUCCCCCUAAUCCGGAUUGGGACGCGUGGAAGGUGAUCAAAUUCGACCCUUUUCUGCGGGUUCUUUGGGGUUAUGCUCUGCAUUCUGGAAUACGGGUUUUGAGCUGCGCCUCUGAACCUAUCGCGUCUUUUAGGAGGUUGGCACUUGCCAGGCAUUGACGACGCUGGGCGAAUUCACACGAAGUAUUUGAUGAUGUUUAGCUCGAUUUGCAUAUAUGGCUUCAUUUUGUUGCAUAUUUGGAUCAGUAGUAACUGGCCGUUGGCCUUGAUAAAGCUAAAUGAUGGGUCUCUUAUUAAUCGGUUAAUUUGUACUGUUCUUGGGUCAACACUAGAUGCUGUACUGUUCUUGUGUUAUUCUCACACUGGCUAGUGCUUCAUGAGGUGUUUACAAGGGCUUUAGUCUUUGUCUUGGCUUACUGAACUACGAUUUCUCCUCAGAUCUUGUGGAAAUUCUAUGCUCUUUAUUCAUUGUCCUUUGUUGAUUAAAGUUACCCAAGAAAAGUCAUGGUUUACUGUCAACGCAAAUUGCUCUUUGCAGUUUUUCUCUCUUUCUCUCUCUCUCUUUCUCAUUCAAAUUUGUAAUUCUUGUCAUUGGAUAUUUAGGACAGUGAUCUUGCUCUUGCACAAGCCCGUGAAACUCGAGAUAAACUGAAAGCUGCACACUCUGAAUUAGCUGAGGAGGGGGCUGUUGAGAUCAUCAUUAUAAAGACCACAGGAGACAUGAUCUUGGACAAACCCCUUGCAGAUAUUGGUGGCAAGGGUUUAUUCACCAAGGAGAUAGAUGAUGCGAUCUUGCAGGGAAGGAUUGAUAUUGCUGUUCACUCUAUGAAAGAUGUCCCAACAUAUCUACCUGAAGGAACAAUACUACCAUGUAACCUCCCGCGAGAAGAUGCUAGAGACGCAUUUAUAUGUUUGACUGCAAAUUCACUUGCGGAGCUUCCUUCUGGUUGUGUCGUCGGAAGUGCUUCCCUG
Molecule: long non-coding RNA, 3870 nt
Filed under: Sorghum bicolor (sorghum)
Lineage: Eukaryota; Viridiplantae; Streptophyta; Magnoliopsida; Poales; Poaceae
Description: long non-coding RNA (SBIC_LNC005958)
Source: RNAcentral